Molecule: ribosomal RNA, 1374 nt
Filed under: uncultured prokaryote
Description: partial 16S ribosomal RNA
Rfam family: Bacterial small subunit ribosomal RNA
Source: RNAcentral
AACGAACGCUGGCGGCGUGCCUAACACAUGCAAGUCGAACGAGAAAGCACUUCGGUGUGAGUAUAGUGGCGCACGGGUGAGUAACACGUAGGUGACCUACCGAUUAGUGGGGGAUAACCCGAAGAAAUUCGGGCUAAUACCGCAUAAGCAAGACAAAUUUGAAAGUAGUCUUGGAAAGGAAUGCCUCUGUAUAUGCAUUUGCUGAUUGAUGGGCCUGCGGGACAUUAGUUUGAUGGUGGGGUAACGGCCUACCUUGACUUCGAUGUCUAGCGGAUCUGAGAGGAUGAUCCGCCACACUGGAACUGAGACACGGUCCAGACUCCUACGGGAGGCAGCAGUGGGGAAUAUUGCGCAAUGGGGGAAACCCUGACGCAGCAACGCCGCGUGAGUGAGGAAGGCUUUCGGGUCGUAAAACUCUGUCAAUGUUGAAAAAUGGUAUAGGGUCCAAUAGGCCUUAUAUUUGAUGGUAAACAUAAAGGAAGCACCGGCUAACUUCGUGCCAGCAGCCGCGGUAAUACGAAGGGUGCAAGCGUUGUUCGGAUUUAUUGGGCGUAAAGCGCGCGCAGGCGGAUUAAUAAGUCAGAUGUGAAAUCUCGGGGCUCAACCCCGAAACUGCGUCUGAAACUAUUAAUCUAGAGUCUCGGAGAGGGAAGGGGAAUUUCUCAUGUAGGGGUAAAAUCCGUAGAGAUGAGAAGGAACACCAGAGGCGAAGGCGCCUUCCUGGACGAGUACUGACGCUGAGGGCGAAAGCGUGGGGAGAAAACAGGAUUAGAUGCCCUGGUAGUCCACGCCGUAAACGAUGUGCACUAGUUUUAGGUGGUAUUGACCCCCUCAGGGACGCAGCUAACGCAUUAAGUACUCCGCCUGGGAAGUACGGUCGCAAGACUAAAACUCAAAGGAAUUGACGGGGGCCCGCACAAGCGGUGGAUUAUGUGGUUUAAUUCGAAGCAACGCGCAGAACCUUACCAAGGCUUGAAAUCCAGAGAAUCCGCCCGAAAAGCCGGGGUGCCCUUUGGGGAAUUCAGUGACAGGCGCUGCAUGGCUGUCGUCAGCUCGUGUUGUGAAAUGUUGGGUUAAGUCUCGCAACGAGCGCAACCCCUAUCUUUAGUUGCCAGCAUUAAGUUGGGCACUCUAGAGAGACUGCCUGGGUUAACCAGGAGGAAGGUGGGGAUGACGUCAAGUCCUCAUGGCCCUUAUGCCUAGGGCUACACACGUGAUACAAUGGUCGGCACAAAGGGACGCCAACCCGCGAGGGGGAGCAAAUCUCAAAAAGCCUAUCUCAGUCCGGAUUGAAGUCUGCAACUCGACUUCAUGAAGUUGGAAUCGCUAGUAAUCGCGAAUCAGCACGCCGCGGUGAAUACGUUCCCGGGCCUU